UGGGGAAUUUUGGGCAAUGGGCGAAAGCCUGACCCAGCAACGCCGCGUGAAGGAUGAAGUAUUUCGGUAUGUAAACUUCGAAAGAAUAGGAAGAAUCAAUGACGGUACUAUUUAUAAGGUCCGGCUAACUACGUGCCAGCAGCCGCGGUAAUACGUAGGGACCAAGCGUUGUUCGGAUUUACUGGGCGUAAAGGGCGCGUAGGCGGCGCGGUAAGUCACUUGUGAAAUCUCUGAGCUUAACUCAGAACGGCCAAGUGAUACUGCAGUGCUAGAGUGCGGAAGGGGCAAUCGGAAUUCUUGGUGUAGCGGUGAAAUGCGUAGAUAUCAAGAGGAACACCUGAGGUGAAGACGGGUUGCUGGGCCGACACUGACGCUGAGGCGCGAAAGCCAGGGGAGCAAACGGGAUUAGAUACCCCAGUAGUCCCUGAGCGGGCUGGCAAGGCGCAU
Molecule: ribosomal RNA, 447 nt
Filed under: uncultured bacterium
Lineage: Bacteria
Description: bacterial SSU rRNA
Rfam family: Bacterial small subunit ribosomal RNA
Source: RNAcentral